UACGUAGGGUGCAAGCGUUGUCCGGAAUUAUUGGGCGUAAAGAGCUCGUAGGCGGUUUGUCGCGUCUGCUGUGAAAAUCCAGGGCUUAACCCUGGACCUGCAGUGGGUACGGGCAGACUAGAGUGCGGUAGGGGAGAUCGGAAUUCCUGGUGUAGCGGUGAAAUGCGCAGAUAUCAGGAGGAACACCGGUGGCGAAGGCGGAUCUCUGGGCCGUAACUGACGCUGAGGCACGAAAGCCAGGGGAGCAAACGGG
Molecule: ribosomal RNA, 253 nt
Filed under: uncultured bacterium
Lineage: Bacteria
Description: partial 16S ribosomal RNA
Rfam family: Bacterial small subunit ribosomal RNA
Source: RNAcentral